Pelobates cultripes (western spadefoot toad) is the source of this 243-nucleotide non-coding RNA. NCBI's taxonomy places the organism in Eukaryota, Metazoa, Chordata, Amphibia, Anura, Pelobatidae. The record is from the annotation of a GenBank genome assembly.
GUUACUCACUUGCAAAUUAGGGGAUUUCCUCAAACAUCUGCAGCUUUAGAUCGCUUACACUUAAUCAUCACACAUGAGCACCUAGUAGACGUGGGUACUUAGAUUUCUUUGAAGGUAGCUGCCUAAAUGUGGCUUGGUGUUCUUACUCUAGAUAGGUACGGUCCAGAUUUCACUCUAGAAGGUAAAAUAUCUCUUGGAAUUGUAAGCAGUUGGUUGCAGUUAAUAUGGUGAUAGAAGAUGGUG